Molecule: ribosomal RNA, 253 nt
Filed under: uncultured Lachnospiraceae bacterium
Lineage: Bacteria; Bacillati; Bacillota; Clostridia; Lachnospirales; Lachnospiraceae
Description: partial 16S ribosomal RNA
Rfam family: Bacterial small subunit ribosomal RNA
Source: RNAcentral
UACGGAAGGUCCGGGCGUUAUCCGGAUUUAUUGGGUUUAAAGGGAGCGUAGACGGCUAAUCAAGUCAGAAGUGAAAACCCAGGGCUCAACUUUGGGACUGCUUUUGAAACUGAGUAGCUAGAGUGCAGGAGAGGUAAGCGGAAUUCCUAGUGUAGCGGUGAAAUGCGUAGAUAUUAGGAGGAACACCAGUGGCGAAGGCGGCUUACUGGACUGUAACUGACGUUGAGGCUCGAAAGCGUGGGGAGCAAACAGG